CAGCAGCAGCCGCGGUAAUACAGAGGGUGCGAGCGUUAAUCGGAUUUACUGGGCGUAAAGCGUGCGUAGGCGGCUUCUUAAGUCGGAUGUGAAAUCCCUGAGCUUAACUUAGGAAUUGCAUUCGAUACUGGGAAGCUAGAGUAUGGGAGAGGAUGGUAGAAUUCCAGGUGUAGCGGUGAAAUGCGUAGAGAUCUGGAGGAAUACCGAUGGCGAAGGCAGCCAUCUGGCCUAAUACUGACGCUGAGGUACGAAAGCAUGGGGAGCAAACAGGAUUAGAUACCCGGGUAGUCCCUGUCUCUUAUAA
RNAcentral lists this ribosomal RNA (304 nucleotides) under uncultured bacterium. RNAcentral describes it as "partial 16S ribosomal RNA". It matches the Rfam family "Bacterial small subunit ribosomal RNA", at positions 506 to 809 of the family's 1533-position model. The record is from RNAcentral.